This is a long non-coding RNA of Sinocyclocheilus rhinocerous, 288 nucleotides long. RefSeq lists it as uncharacterized. NCBI's taxonomy places the organism in Eukaryota, Metazoa, Chordata, Actinopteri, Cypriniformes, Cyprinidae. The record is from RefSeq and is a predicted model, not a curated record. The transcript is spliced from 2 exons.
GCAAGACACCGGCCCUCCAGGACCGAGUUUGGGCAGCCCUGAUUUAGGGUAUCAGGAGCAGGAGAUGUCCACAUGACAAGAGUUCAUUAAAUGGUGGAUAAACUUCCUUUUAACAUUAAAUGUAGGCAUCAUGAGCUGGUUCAGACUUGCAGUAAAGCCAGUCUUCGGAUGUCUGUUCUUAAUGGAGCUUUACUGACCAGAAAAAAGAAUUAUGAUGCAAUGGCUGGUGAUGCAAGUCGGUCUGUUUUCUGUAGUUAUAUAUUAAAGCCACACCUAACCUGACAGAAA